AGUGAACGCUGGCGGUAGGCCUAACACAUGCAAGUCGAACGGCAGCACAGUAAGAGCUUGCUCUUACGGGUGGCGAGUGGCGGACGGGUGAGGAAUACAUCGGAAUCUACUUUUUCGUGGGGGAUAACGUAGGGAAACUUACGCUAAUACCGCAUACGACCUACGGGUGAAAGCAGGGGAUCUUCGGACCUUGCGCGAUUGAAUGAGCCGAUGUCGGAUUAGCUAGUUGGCGGGUUAAAGGCCCACCAAGGCGACGAUCCGUAGCUGGUCUGAGAGGAUGAUCGGCCACACUGGAACUGAGACACGGUCCAGACUCCUACGGGAGGCAGCAGGGGGGAAUAUUGGACAAUGGGCGCAAGCCUGAUCCAGCCAUACCGCGUGGGUGAAGAAGGCCUUCGGGUUGUAAAGCCCUUUUGUUGGGAAAGAAAAGCAGCAGGUUAAUACCCCGCUGUUCGGACGGGACCAAAAGAAUAGCACCGGCUAACUUCGUG
RNAcentral lists this ribosomal RNA (491 nucleotides) under uncultured bacterium. Its description in RNAcentral is "partial 16S ribosomal RNA". It matches the Rfam family "Bacterial small subunit ribosomal RNA", at positions 29 to 507 of the family's 1533-position model. The record is from RNAcentral.